Molecule: ribosomal RNA, 465 nt
Filed under: uncultured bacterium
Lineage: Bacteria
Description: partial 16S ribosomal RNA
Rfam family: Bacterial small subunit ribosomal RNA
Source: RNAcentral
CCUACGGGAGACAGCAGUAGGGAAUCUUCCACAAUGGGCGAAAGCCUGAUGGAGCAACGCCGCGUGGGUGAAGAAGGUCUUCGGAUCGUAAAACCCUGUUGUUAGAGAAGAAAGUGCGUGAGAGUAACUGUUCACGUUUCGACGGUAUCUAACCAGAAAGCCACGGCUAACUACGUGCCAGCAGCCGCGGUAAUACGUAGGUGGCAAGCGUUAUCCGGAUUUAUUGGGCGUAAAGGGAACGCAGGCGGUCUUUUAAGUCUGAUGUGAAAGCCUUCGGCUUAACCGGAGUAGUGCAUUGGAAACUGGGAGACUGGAGUGCAGAAGAGGAGAGUGGAACUCCAUGUGUAGCGGUGAAAUGCGUAGAUAUAUGGAAGAACACCAGUGGCGAAAGCGGCUCUCUGGUCUGUAACUGACGCUGAGGUUCGAAAGCGUGGGUAGCAAACAGGAUUAGAUACCCCUGUAGUC